This 548-nucleotide ribosomal RNA is filed under the name uncultured Glomeromycotina. RNAcentral's name for it is "SSU rRNA". It matches the Rfam family "Eukaryotic small subunit ribosomal RNA", at positions 548 to 1097 of the family's 1831-position model. The record is from RNAcentral. Lineage: Eukaryota; Fungi; Glomeromycota.
UUGGAGGGCAAGUCUGGUGCCAGCAGCCGCGGUAAUUCCAGCUCCAAUAGCGUAUAUUAAAGUUGUUGCAGUUAAAAAGCUCGUAGUUGAAUUUCGGGGUUAGUAGGUUGGUCGUGCCUCAGGUAUGUACUGAUCUCACUGAUUCCUCCUUCCUGAUGAACCGUAAUGCCAUUAAUUUGGUGUUGCGGGGAAACUGGACUGUUACUUUGAAAAAAUUAGAGUGUUUAAAGCAGGCUAACGCUUGAAUACAUUAGCAUGGAAUAAUGAAAUAGGACGUUCGAUCCUAUUUUGUUGGUUUCUAGGAUUGACGUAAUGAUUAAUAGGGAUAGUUGGGGGCAUUAGUAUUCAAUUGUCAGAGGUGAAAUUCUUGGAUUUAUUGAAGACUAACUACUGCGAAAGCAUUUGCCAAGGAUGUUUUCAUUAAUCAAGAACGAAAGUUAGGGGAUCGAAGACGAUCAGAUACCGUCGUAGUCUUAACCAUAAACUAUGCCGACUAAGGAUCGGAUGAUGUUAAUUUUUUAGUGACUCAUUCGGCGCCUUACGGGAAA